AAGUGUGUAUGCAGUGUAUUGUCGUUCCUGUAGUAGAUCAUUUAUAUAUUUUAAAACCAUAAUAUACAUUGGUCUUUUUUCACUUUUUACAAUGAAAAGGAAGCUGAUCUUCCCUUGGAAAAUUCAAGUCAGUUUCGGGAGAAAGGUUUGGACUGCAGCAUUUGGAGCCCCGUUGUCCUCCUGUCCCUCUAGACUGGAAUAAGCAUAGGUCACAGAAAACCCCACAGCCUCACCACUCUGAGCAAACCCCUCCCUGUGUGACAGCCACUGACCUACCUGAGGAGGUGAAGAUAGAGCUCUUAGCUCAGGGUCACAUUGCUCGUGCAUGUACCCAGUGGUACUAGCACUAUCUUUUGCACCCUCUCGACGUGCUGCUCACACAGGUUCUAUCAAGGCUGGUGGUCUGCUGUAUGUCCUGGACCAUUCUAGGUGGACACAGCAAAUGAGGGAUGCUAUUGACCAACUCAUGGCAAAGCAUCAUGGGCAAAAAGACUUUCUUGCCAAAGUUGAUGUAGAGUAUGCUGCUGUGAUUCAGGCUGCAUCCAGGGAUCCAAACAGCCUCCUGCACCCUACCACUAAGCAGCAUAUAUCUCGCUAUGUGAAGCACCUGGCUAAGAUGACAAUCACCAUCUCGUCACUAAACACCAGUACAGAGAAGCUUUUGGAGACCCAACAGCUGUGGCAUCACCUCACAGAAGGAAUUGAGACUGUAGAUGUUCCUGUGGCAACUAUUCCACCUGCCACUGUUAACCCGCCCAGCAAUAAACCAAUGGAUACCCUUUUGACAGUAUCAGAAAUUGAGAAAAUUGUCUAAGACAUUGUUCAAAAGCAGCAGGAUCAGCAACAACCACCUGCAAAAAAAAGAACAAGGAACUAUUUGGCUUGUGGCCAGCCAAAGUCACGUUUCCGGGGGGAUGGAUCCAGUAUUUAUUUUUUUUUAUCAAUCAGGAGACGUGAAAUACUUUUACUGUUCCACUAAAGUCUAUCAGACCUAUGCAGCAGAGGGCCUGGCAAAUCCAAGAAUGCCAUUUGUUGAUUUUGCCUGCACUCCAUUUUUCUGGAGAGAGCUUGAAGCUGCUAAGCAGCGCUCCACAGCCUCAAAGCAGGUUAAGAAGGAACGAGAAACAAGACAGGCUAAGGAGGAACAUCCCACUGGGCGGCUGUGCAGAUUCUGCCACAUGGCCUCUCAAACAAGGACCAAACAGUCCACACAUCCACACAGGUUUUCCUGGUGUGGCAGGAAAAUAUAUUUAUUGUCCUGCUAAGGUUUUUUCUCUGUACCAGGCUGAGGGGAUGACGAGGGAAAUGACAUGGACAGAGUUCUGUCAGUCUUCUUUUUAUGAGGCUGAGAAGAGGAGAUGGGCCGUGGAAACGAACAAGUAAUGGCUAGCUGAUCAGACAGCCAGUGCUCUAUGUUCCAUGUACAUACUGCAAAUAUUCAGCCCUUUACAUAACACCGUGUUCUUUACAUGCUUUACUUUUUUCCUAUGUAUUUCUAUAUAGAAAUUGUUAUUACCUUUUACUAUCAAAAAAGUAUUUUAAAACCUGCAGUACAAGUUGCUGUGAUUUGUAUUUCUUGCUGUGACCUUUUAAAUAAACAUAAUUGAACUGAAA
Molecule: long non-coding RNA, 1614 nt
Organism: Girardinichthys multiradiatus
Lineage: Eukaryota; Metazoa; Chordata; Actinopteri; Cyprinodontiformes; Goodeidae
Exons: 2
Source: RefSeq, a predicted model, not a curated record